Molecule: ribosomal RNA, 103 nt
Filed under: uncultured bacterium
Lineage: Bacteria
Description: partial 16S ribosomal RNA
Rfam family: Bacterial small subunit ribosomal RNA
Source: RNAcentral
CGUGUACACACCGCCCGUCACACCAUGGGAGCGGGUUCUGCCAGAAGUAGUUAGCCUAACCGCAAGGAGGGCGAUUACCACGGCAGGGUUCGUGACUGGGGUG